CAGGACACACAGGAGGCUGAGCCUAAGGCGUUCAGACCGCCUUGCAGAAGGGCCCCUGGGUUGACAGGGCGCCCUGUCCCCGCCCCACCCAGGACCUGAAGGCGACCCGGCCCGCUGGGCCUCCCCUCUCCGGAUCCGAUCGGAAUCCGUGCCGCGGGGCUUCCUCUCCAGGCGGCUCAGCUGACCCAUCCCCGCACGGGUUGCAGAGAAGGACUAUCUGUAUUUAUUCCAGGAUGACUUCCAAGGACUGUGGCUCAGGGAGAAAAGGUGGGAGCCACAUACACAGUGUGCUGCAUUUCACGUCACCUGUGGAGAGCUGCGUGUGCCGCGCCUUAAAGAUGGCGCUGGUUUCCGCCUUCCGCCAUCCCGACGGCGAGAGCUCUUUAUGAUAAACAACUCCUUAUUUGGCUGUGAUGUGUCUGAUGCUCUGCCCCCUCUUACGUGUACCUAUCCGCAUUCGCC
Long non-coding RNA from Heterocephalus glaber (naked mole-rat), 462 nucleotides. NCBI's taxonomy places the organism in Eukaryota, Metazoa, Chordata, Mammalia, Rodentia, Bathyergidae. The record is from Ensembl.